AUUGAACGCUGGCGGCAUGCUUUACACAUGCGAGUCGAACGGUAACAGGCCUUCGGGUGCUGACGAGUGGCGCACGGGUGAGUAAUGCAUCGGAACGUGCCCAGAGGUGGGGGAUAACGCAGCGAAAGCUGUGCUAAUACCGCAUGUGAUCUGAGGAUGAAAGCGGGGGACCAGGCAGCAAUGUUUGGCCUCGCGCCUUUGGAGCGGCCGAUGUCAGAUUAGGUAGUUGGUGGGGUAAAGGCCUACCAAGCCGACGAUCUGUAGCUGGUCUGAGAGGACGACCAGCCACACUGGGACUGAGACACGGCCCAGACUCCUACGGGAGGCAGCAGUGGGGAAUUUUGGACAAUGGGCGCAAGCCUGAUCCAGCAAUGCCGCGUGCGGGAAGAAGGCCUUCGGGUUGUAAACCGCUUUUGUACGGAACGAAAAGGCUCUGGCUAAUACCUGGGGCUGAUGACGGUACCGUAAGAAUAAGCACCGGCUAACUACGUG
This 492-nucleotide ribosomal RNA is filed under the name uncultured bacterium. RNAcentral describes it as "partial 16S ribosomal RNA". It matches the Rfam family "Bacterial small subunit ribosomal RNA", at positions 30 to 507 of the family's 1533-position model. The record is from RNAcentral.